CUUUUGUAGAAGAGAAUACAGGGGAAGAGGUGGAAAAUGAAUUAACUAAGGGCCCAGAAAUCUGGGUUCUAGUGCUGGCUUUACUGGUGAGGUAGAAGGGGCAGCAUUGCCUUUCUGAACCUCAGAUUCCUCAUCAGUAAAACUGGGGUACCAUAUCCACCUCACAAGGUUUUUUGAGGAUCAAACGAAUAAAUGGACAAGAAAGGCUUGUGUAAAAUGUAAAGAGUGAUGCAAACGUGAGUUGCUGUUGUGGAUAAGACUGUGCCCAGGUGGAUGGAGGUCAGGCUGGUGCAUUCCACUCAGGGGGUCGCAGGACCCUGAGGCCCACCAGGACCUGUAAGCUUGGGCUGGGUGUCUGGCAAAACCCCACGGAUGCUACCCAACUGGCAGGGAAGUGGGGGAAUGAGCCUGCCCACAGUGUCUGUGCCCAGGCCCUUGCCUGGACACUUAAUAUGCACCCAACAAAUGCUUGCUGAGUGAAUCAAUAAAUGCUGUUUCAGAGAAGACAUCGCAGAAAAGAAUAAGAGCAAUGGCACGUGAGACAUGUCAAUGGGAGAAGUGAGAGACUGCGCGGCAUAAGGUAAACAGGACAAGCUUUGGAGCCAGAGCGACCUGGUUCAAAGAUUCAGUUUCUUCAUCUGCAAAUGGGGAUAAUAACAGUCCCAGGUGUUUGCCAUGAGGAUUCGAUGAGAUCAUGUCUGUGAAGUGGCUGGUCUUCCAAGGGCACCCAGUAGAUCGUAACAGCGAUGAUUACUAUGAUUAAGAUAGGAAGGUGCUUCCUUCCUCUUGGGAGAGACUAUUUAGAGGCUUCCAGCCCUUUGCCUCCAGUAAGGCAGGAUGGCCUCGCUCCUCCUUUCCCCUCCCCACCCUCUCAUUGGAUCAGGAAGGGUCCGACGUUCUAGGUGCUUUGCCUGGCGGGCCCUAUGGGAGCAAUGGGUGGGGAUCGUGAUCCUCUGGAGGAAUCCAGAGCUCCAGCCCGGCUUCAGAGGAAGACUCAUCGUUUGGGGAGUCAAUGCCUGGCCAUCAAACAGACCACUUGUAAAGGAAUAGCCAGAAUUUUCAAGGGGGCUGAAGCAGAAGAGCGAAGAGGAGGCAAUGGGAGAUCUUGUUUCCUUGCUAAGGAGCAGGCGGCGAUACCCGAAGCCCCUUCCCAGGCUACUUUCAAAGGCUCCGAGUUCUAGUGGUCUCAUCUCACACCUGGACUACCGCAUUAGCCUUCUGACUGAUUUCCCAGCCCACACCCUCUGCUCAGAAAACCUCAGCUUCCUCAUUUCCAGGAGGAUCAAGCCCAGACUCCUUACUUUGGGGACGUGGGUUCGAUCCCUGGUUGGAGAACUAAGAUCCCCCAUGCCGUGGGGCAGCUAAGCCCAUGCACCGCAACUACUGAGCCCAGGUUCUCUGGAGCCUGCGUGCCACAACUGGAGAGCCUGCACGCUGCAACUACUGAGCCUGCAUGCCACAACUAGAGAGAAGCCUGUGCGCCACAAGUAGAGAGAAGCCUGCGCUCCACAACGAAAGAUCCCACGUGCUGCAACUAAGACCCGAUGC
Molecule: long non-coding RNA, 1548 nt
Organism: Physeter macrocephalus (sperm whale)
Lineage: Eukaryota; Metazoa; Chordata; Mammalia; Artiodactyla; Physeteridae
Exons: 3
Source: RefSeq, a predicted model, not a curated record